Molecule: long non-coding RNA, 756 nt
Filed under: Marmota monax (woodchuck)
Lineage: Eukaryota; Metazoa; Chordata; Mammalia; Rodentia; Sciuridae
Source: RNAcentral
AUCAGACUCAGAGGACAAUCUGCUAUGUGCAUUCAUAGACACACAUCACACAUUCUGUAUGUAUACACAGCUGUUCACAAUGCACAUUGGAAUACCCCUUUUCACUACAAUUAAUUAUUACCCAACAUUGAAUAAUCACUAGUGAGAAGAUAUAAGGGCAAGUGAAAUAUGAAGUCGAGCUAGUUUAUUUUUAGAAAGCACCACUUUAAAGUGUUGAUUGAUUGAACAGGUGUUUAAUAGCAUUUGUCAGAAUCAAUUCACAGGAAAUCUCUUUCACAUUCAGGUUACAGCAAUAGAAGGAAAAAUAGCCUACACAUUUUACAAUUUCAAUUGUAAAAAGUCAUAUUUUGGGACUUGUGUGGGUAUCUGAAAAUAUUAGAUUCUAUCAGGCCCAAUUAAAGCUUUUAAUUUCAUAAGAUUUCAGACAACCAGCUGAGCAUCCCCUGGACUCCAGGGGCUUCAUCUUGGACAUCUAAGGAGAAUGUCUGCUGUACAUCCCCAUGAAACCUGUGACUGCUCUGCUUGAACUAUGAGGUUAUUGAAAAGAGAGCAAAUCCUUUUCUGAAGAGCCUCCAAUAGGAGGAUGUUUCAGUUAAUUUCAGCUCCCUGUCAGCUCAAAAGAAUGGACGCUGUGCUGUGCACUGUUCCCAUGUAUGCUGCACGCAGAGCACUGCUCAGUGACUCAGCCUUCAGGGAGCCUUCAGGGUUUGAAGCUGCAUCAUCCCUUUCAUCCUUAAAGUUCUUUUGAAUUUCAUC